RNAcentral lists this transfer RNA (74 nucleotides) under Candidatus Nomurabacteria bacterium RIFCSPHIGHO2_12_FULL_44_22b. RNAcentral's name for it is "tRNA-Gly". It matches the Rfam family "tRNA". Rfam says of the family: Transfer RNA (tRNA) molecules are approximately 80 nucleotides in length. Their secondary structure includes four short double-helical elements and three loops (D, anti-codon, and T loops). Further hydrogen bonds mediate the characteristic L-shaped molecular structure. tRNAs have two regions of fundamental functional importance: the anti-codon, which is responsible for specific mRNA codon recognition, and the 3' end, to which the tRNAs corresponding amino acid is attached (by aminoacyl-tRNA synthetases). tRNAs cope with the degeneracy of the genetic code in two manners: having more than one tRNA (with a specific anti-codon) for a particular amino acid; and 'wobble' base-pairing, i.e. permitting non-standard base-pairing at the 3rd anti-codon position. RNAcentral also lists the same sequence under 2 other names. Lineage: Bacteria; Candidatus Nomuraibacteriota. The record is from RNAcentral.
GCGAGCAUAAUAUAGUGGUAAUAUAUUUGCUUCCCAAGCAAAAAACGCGGGUCCGAUUCCCGCUGCUCGCACAA